CGGAGGAUGCAAGCGUUAUCCGGAUUCAUUGGGUUUAAAGGGUGCGCAGGCGGAUUGGUAAGUCAGGGGUGAAAUCCCACAGCUCAACUGUGGAACUGCCUUUGAUACUGUCAGUCUAGAGUAUAGUUGAAGUUGGCGGAAUGUGUCAUGUAGCGGUGAAAUGCUUAGAUAUGACACAGAACACCGAUCGCGAAGGCAGCUAGCUAAGCUAUAACUGACGCUCAUGCACGAAAGCGUGGGGAUCAAACAGGAUUAGAUACCCUGGUAGUCCACGCUGUAAACGAUGAUUACUCGAUGUUGGCGAUACACAGUCAGCGUCUGAGCGAAAGCAAUAAGUAAUCCACCUGGGGAGUACGAUCGCAAGAUUGAAACUCAAAGGAAUUGACGGGGGCCCGCACAAGCGGAGGAGCAUGUGGUUUAAUUCGAUGAUACGCGAGGAACCUUACCUGGGCUCGAACGUAAGAUGACUGUAGGUGAAAGCUUACAUCUCUUCGGAGCAUUUUACGAGGUGCUGCAUGGUUGUCGUCAGCUCGUGCCGUGAGGUGUCGGGUUAAGUCCCAUAACGAGCGCAACCCCUACCUUUAGUUGCCAUCAGGUCAUGCUGGGGACUCUAAAGGAACUGCCUACGCAAGUAGUGAGGAAGGCGGGGAUGACGUCAAAUCAGCACGGCCCUUACGUCCAGGGCUACACACGUGCUACAAUGGCCGGUACAGAGGGCAGCUACCUGGUGACAGGAUGCAAAUCUCCAAAGCCGGUCUCAGUUCGGAUCGGAGUCUGCAACCCGACUCCGUGAAGUUGGAUUCGCUAGUAAUCGCGCAUCAGCCAUGGCGCGGUGAAUACGUUCCCGGGCCUUGUACACACCGCCCGUCAAGCCAUGGAAGCUGGGGGGACCUAAAGUCGAUAACCGCAAGGAGUCGCC
Molecule: ribosomal RNA, 919 nt
Filed under: uncultured bacterium
Lineage: Bacteria
Description: bacterial SSU rRNA
Rfam family: Bacterial small subunit ribosomal RNA
Source: RNAcentral